UAUUAUUAAGUUGUGCAACAAGCAUGUUGUAAUCAGGUUAGGUUCGGAAGAAAGCAGCCUCAUCAACCCCUGCUUGUGUGCACUUUUUUUAUGGAGGUG
RNAcentral lists this signal recognition particle RNA (99 nucleotides) under Mollicutes bacterium. RNAcentral's name for it is "signal recognition particle sRNA small type". It matches the Rfam family "Bacterial small signal recognition particle RNA". Rfam says of the family: The signal recognition particle (SRP) is a universally conserved ribonucleoprotein involved in the co-translational targeting of proteins to membranes. Archaeal SRP consists of a 7S RNA and homologues of the eukaryotic SRP19 and SRP54 proteins. In most bacteria, the SRP consists of a 4.5S RNA and the Ffh protein (a homologue of the eukaryotic SRP54 protein). The record is from RNAcentral. Lineage: Bacteria; Bacillati; Mycoplasmatota; Mollicutes.